CCCUUCCUCCCGAGUUCUGUACAUCUGCCAGGGCACCUGCCCUUCACCAUUUGCCCAGCCUCUUUGACUGCCAUCUGCCUUCCUGCUGAGAUUUCCACCUAGGGCUUGCCAGUACAUUCCCCUCAUACUCUGUUCCGCUUGGCUGCCUGAAUUUACACCGCCUUUUGAUGAGUCUUUGCUCAAAUUCCAGUCACACUCUAAUUGAUUGGUUUAGAUUUUGGGUUCUGGCUGUCCUCAUCCGCUCCCAUAACUGAGUGAAAUGAGGCUGCAUGUGAAACCUAGACGGGCUGCGGACUGGGAAAGUUUGUCUGGGAGACUUGGCGCUUAACCGCUCGAAGGAUGUGGAGCAGAAGGAAAAGGGGAACUGAGUGUGUGAGGCCAUCUUUCUAUAGUUACACGUCUGAUAUGAGGAAUGGCCAUGGGGACCCAGCUAAUGAAGUGACUCUAUGCUCAGCUCUCCAGCCGUGGCUGGCUGCUGUUGCUCCUUAAGCCUCCUUCCUGGAAAUAGGAACCACUUCAUCGCGUAUCGCAGGCUUGGGAAGAUUUCAGCCAGGAGGACAUGGGAUGGCCGAGGACACCGAGAUGAUGGGACAUCUCAGAAGAUGUCAGAAGAUGCCAGGGAGACAAGACCUGCUCCCAGGACUGUUACAGAGGAAACGAGCUGUGUUUGUCAAUUCACUGUCAAAUAAAAUGCCCUUCUUAGAGCAGUGGCAGAAUUUCUAGUUUCCAAUUUGUAUAUAUGUUCAAAUUUAAUUAAGAGACAUUUAGACUCUUCAGUUAAACAACUUCAGGCAAAGACUGUAGGCUGUGCAUCAUUGUGUUAGAGGGCCCAGUUUUGUUUAUUGGAAAUUUUAAUCUGACUAGAUACUUUGCCCUUUAAAUUUAUUUUUAUUUUGGGGAUAAGGUUUCAGUUUGUAGUCCUGGCUUUCCUGAAGCUCACUGAGUAGACUAGGCUCGCCUGGAACUAACAGGGAUCCUUCUGCUGCUGCUUCCUGAGUGCUCGGAUUAAAGCAUAAGUUACCAUGCUCAGCAGAUGCCUUGCAUUUUAGCUAGGUAUUUUAAACUUACAGUACAGUGAAGGUUACUUGAGUCAACAAAGAAAAGGAAGGCCUUUUUUGGUCUUAUUGGGCAUGUGCUUUCGGAAGAGAAAGGUAGGACUAUGUUUCUUAGCUUGAGUAUGUGUGUUUGACAUAGAGCCAGUAAAAAAUGACGAAUCUGUCUUCCUUCUUGGAGCCUGCCAGUGGGACACCCCCCCAACCAUAUUUGAGAUGCUGUAAUAUGGGUUAACAGUGAAAAUAGGAAGGCAAACCUUAUUUAAUAACUAAA
Myodes glareolus (Bank vole) is the source of this 1326-nucleotide long non-coding RNA. RefSeq lists it as uncharacterized. The record is from RefSeq and is a predicted model, not a curated record. NCBI's taxonomy places the organism in Eukaryota, Metazoa, Chordata, Mammalia, Rodentia, Cricetidae.